Molecule: ribosomal RNA, 253 nt
Filed under: uncultured bacterium
Lineage: Bacteria
Description: partial 16S ribosomal RNA
Rfam family: Bacterial small subunit ribosomal RNA
Source: RNAcentral
UACGAAGGGGGCUAGCGUUGCUCGGAAUCACUGGGCGUAAAGGGUGCGUAGGCGGGUCUUUAAGUCAGGGGUGAAAUCCUGGAGCUCAACUCCAGAACUGCCUUUGAUACUGAGGAUCUUGAGUUCGGGAGAGGUGAGUGGAACUGCGAGUGUAGAGGUGAAAUUCGUAGAUAUUCGCAAGAACACCAGUGGCGAAGGCGGCUCACUGGCCCGAUACUGACGCUGAGACACGAAAGCCAGGGGAGCAAACGGG